GCCCCCGUUGUGUAGCGGCCUAGCACGCCGCCCUCUCAAGGCGGUAGCGCCGGUUCGAAUCCGGUCGGGGUA
RNAcentral lists this transfer RNA (72 nucleotides) under Streptomyces sp. SW4. RNAcentral describes it as "tRNA-Glu". It matches the Rfam family "tRNA". Rfam says of the family: Transfer RNA (tRNA) molecules are approximately 80 nucleotides in length. The record is from RNAcentral. Lineage: Bacteria; Bacillati; Actinomycetota; Actinomycetes; Kitasatosporales; Streptomycetaceae. RNAcentral also lists the same sequence under 2 other names.